UUGGUCCUACGGGAGGCAGCAGUGAGGAAUAUUGGUCAAUGGCCGGAAGGCUGAACCAUCCCCUCCUCUUUCCUGCCGCAGGUGCCAAGCAUUGUAAACUUCUUUUGUCAAGGGACAAAAUCAGGCUCGAGAGCCUGACCGAGGGUACUUGAAGAAAAAGCAUCGGCUAACUCCGUGCCAGCAGCCGCGGUAAUACGGAGGAUGCGAGCGUUAUCCGGAUUUAUUGGGUUUAAAGGGUGCGUAGGCGGACUGUUAAGUCAGCGGUAAAAGCCCGGGGCUCAACCCCGGCGAGCCGUUGAAACUGG
This 305-nucleotide ribosomal RNA is filed under the name uncultured bacterium. RNAcentral describes it as "bacterial SSU rRNA". It matches the Rfam family "Bacterial small subunit ribosomal RNA", at positions 333 to 636 of the family's 1533-position model. The record is from RNAcentral.